This is a long non-coding RNA of Sander lucioperca (pikeperch), 658 nucleotides long. RefSeq lists it as uncharacterized. The record is from RefSeq and is a predicted model, not a curated record. Lineage: Eukaryota; Metazoa; Chordata; Actinopteri; Perciformes; Percidae. The transcript is spliced from 4 exons.
GGGAGAGGUGGGGGCUCUAUUUAAGCCUGUGUGUGUGUACUCAUUCUGUUUUGGUCUUCUCCUGCUGGGUGCUUGUGGAGACGUUACAGGGUUGGCGUGCUGUACGUUUUUGCCGCUGCCCUAGGUCGUCAGUUUGCUGCGGUGUGAGCCGACCCUGUCUUGGCUGUGGAUGUCCCCACGUGGGUAGAUGUACACCUGGGCUGCUGGCGUUGGGUGUCUCGUGUGAGCCGCUGUGUGCGUGCGCGGAGUGGGUGCCUCCGCCGGGGUCUAAGGGCGGCGUGUCCUGUAAAUCGCUAGACCGGGCUGCAGCCUCAUACAUGCUGCUGCAGGGCUAUCGUGGUGCCACAACUAAUUAAAGGGCCAGUACUCCCCGGCGCGUUCUUCUCCCACUGAUGCUGUUCUGGAGACUGGUACAAAAGUGUUCUGGAGACUGGUACAAAAGUGUUCUGAAUACUAGUACAAAAGUUGUCUGGAUACUAGUACAAAAGUGUUCUGGGUACUGGUACACAAUUGGCUCUGUAAAGAUUUGUAUUAACUGUUGUACAUAUUGCAUGUGGGUUUUUGUUUCUUUUCAUUUUGGUUGAUUUGCUGUUUUCUCAUUAUGCAUGCUCUAUUGUUGAUUUGAAUUGUGUUUUGUUUCUUGUUUAUUACUUUUCUA